UUCUAGCCCUAAUGGAAGCGACAUCCUUUUUCUUGCUUCUUUAGCAAGGAAAAGAUAUAGCGAACAGCAGGAAAUAGC
Flavobacterium hibernum is the source of this 78-nucleotide non-coding RNA. Lineage: Bacteria; Pseudomonadati; Bacteroidota; Flavobacteriia; Flavobacteriales; Flavobacteriaceae. The record is from Rfam.